Molecule: long non-coding RNA, 989 nt
Filed under: Parus major (Great Tit)
Lineage: Eukaryota; Metazoa; Chordata; Aves; Passeriformes; Paridae
Description: lncRNA (ENSPMJG00000002129.1)
Source: RNAcentral
CGGAACUUCUCCAGAACCUCCAGAACUUCUCCAGAACCACCAGGAACCUCCAGAACCGCUGCCAGGACCCCUCUGGAUCCAUCCCACGGCCUCCAGAACCUCCAGAACUUCUCCAGAACCUCCGGAACUUCUCCAGAACCUCCGGAACUUCUCCCAGGACCCCUCUGGAUCCAUCCCAAAGCUUCCAGAACCAUCCAGAACCAUCAGGAACCUCCAGAACUUCUCCCAGGACCUCUCUGGAUCCAUCCCAAGGCAUCCAGAACCUCUGGAACUUCUCCAGAACCACCAGGAACCUCCAGAACCGCUGCCAGGACCCCUCUGGAUCCACCCCAAGGCUUCCAGAACCAUCCAGAAGCGGGGGAAGCUCCGGAGCCGCUCCAGGGACUCGUCCGGAGCUCUCCCGGCGUCUCCGGGUGGGAUUUUAAGCUUCACUCGCGUCUAUUUUUAAGCUCAGAUGGUUUCAAAGAUAUUUUUUUAAAAUCCUUGUCCACGGAAAACCUUCGGGAAUUUUUUCCUUUGGGAAUUUUUUCCUUCGGGAAUUUUUUUGGGAAUUUUUUAUUCUUUGGGGAAUUUUUUUCUUUGGGAAUUUUUUUCUUUGGGAAUUUUUUAUUCUUUGGGAAUUUUUUUUUUCCUUUGGGAAUUUUUUAUUCUUUGGGAAUUUUUUUUUUCCUUUGGGAAUUUUUUUCUUCUUUGGGAAUUUUGGAUCUUCCUCCCCUCCCCUGGAGUUUGUGAAUCCCAAAAUGGGAUUUUUUAUUUUUAUUUUUUAUUUUUAUUUGAUAUUUAUUUGAUAUUUAUUUAUUUUUAUUUUAUUUGAUAUUUAUUUUUAUUUGAUAUUUAUUUUUAUUUGAUAUUUAUUUAUUUUAAUUUUUAUUUUAUAUUUAUUUUUAUUUAAUAUUUAUUUUUGUUUGAUAUUUAUUUUUAUUUGAUAUUUAUUUUUAUUUGAUAUUUAUUUUUAAUUGAUAUUUAUUUUUAAUUGAUAUUUAUUUUUA